RNAcentral lists this ribosomal RNA (468 nucleotides) under uncultured bacterium. RNAcentral describes it as "partial 16S ribosomal RNA". It matches the Rfam family "Bacterial small subunit ribosomal RNA", at positions 28 to 507 of the family's 1533-position model. The record is from RNAcentral.
GACGAACGCUGGCGGCGUGCUUAACACAUGCAAGUCGAACGGAAAGGCCCUGCUUUUGUGGGGUGCUCGAGGGGCGAACGGGUGAGUAACACGUGAGUAACCUGCCCUUGACUUUGGGAUAACUUCAGGAAACUGGGGCUAAUACCGGAUAGGAUCUCCUGCUGCAUGGUGGGGGUUGGAAAGUUUCGGCGGUUGGGGAUGGACUCGCGGCUUAUCAGCUUGUUGGUGGGGGAGUGGCUUACCAAGGCUUUGGCGGGUAGCCGGCCUGUGAGGGUGACCGGGCCCCAUGGGACUGAGGUACGGCCCAGACUCCUACGGGAGGCAGCGGGGGGGAAUAUUGCACAAUGGGCGGAAGCCUGAUGCAGAAACGCCGCGUGCGGGAUGACGGCCUUCGGGUUGUAAACCGCUUUCGCCUGUGACGAAGCGUGAGUGACGGUAAUGGGUAAAGAAGCACCGGCUAACUACGUG